Non-coding RNA from Podarcis lilfordi (Lilford's wall lizard), 68 nucleotides. The record is from the annotation of a GenBank genome assembly. Lineage: Eukaryota; Metazoa; Chordata; Lepidosauria; Squamata; Lacertidae.
GGCUGGCUUAGAUGGAAAGCAUCUGCUUUGCAUGCAGAAGGGCCCAGGUUCAAUCCCUGGCAUCUCCA